Molecule: long non-coding RNA, 353 nt
Filed under: Salmo salar (Atlantic salmon)
Lineage: Eukaryota; Metazoa; Chordata; Actinopteri; Salmoniformes; Salmonidae
Description: lncRNA (ENSSSAG00000093594.1, ENSSSAG00020040341.1)
Source: RNAcentral
UACAGGCGGGAGAAUCUCAUUUUAUCCGGAACUUCAGCCCUGCGCUUGGAGAGAGCCAUAGGACGCGCUACCAACAGCAGGCUAAUGGAACGUGAAGUAUGGACUUUUUGACCGAAAAUACAUCUGUUGUGGACCUGGGAUGCUUUCUGAUGAAGACAACUAAAGGCAAGGAAAGCAGAGUGUAAAUGUUUCCUUUGAACAGUGGGUCCUCCUGAUGGAUCUCAUAGCGGAUGUCGAUCUGGAUGCUUUCAGUGAUCCCCAGAGAAGGAGUCUAAAGAGAAGAAGAGAAGAGGGCAAGCUUCAUCCUCCAUCUCUGUGAAAUGGUCAAUGACCUUCAUUUACUUUGGAAGCCC